CCUGUAAAUCUGAUGCACAAGCGACAUCCGUAAACAACAACGAUGGACGACGAAGCCGCUUCUCUUGGUCCACUGAGGGACUUUCGCUUUAAAAAACGUCCUGAUGGGACUUUCCAAAAGACUGCUGUUGUAUGCAAGUUGUGCAAAAAGGCGUUUGCUGCUCACCGAAGCUGCUCAAGCCUAAAAUACCAUCUCAAUGCCAAACAGCUGCUUUCAGCGGUAAAUAACCGGCCCAGCCGGCCCGCACUGGACCAGGCGACCGGGUUCAGGGCCGAAAUAAGGAAGUCUGGGUCUGAAACAACUCCCCGGCUAAAUGGAUCGCAGCAGACUGCAGACCGCUGUCGGGGGUCGAGGACAGGGGGCUACAGUCUGUGUUAGACCGCGACACCGGACCUGCUCACGAACUCCCGUGUAGGAAAACCAUGGCGGGGAAGAUCAGGCAGCUUUAUGGAGACGAAAAGCAGCCAAAACACGACCUGCUGAAUGCAGGUGAUCGCAUCUUUCGCCCUCACUGUAGAGAAAGCCAACAACAGACAUCAUGCAGGAAACUGCGCAGACCUUUUUUCUGUAGUUCUGGAAAAUUGAGCUAAAUGUGACAACAAUUGGCGCCGAUUGUGCAGAAACAUGAUGGCAACAGCGAGACGGCUCCCAUUUCAGCAGAUGCCGUGUGCUGCGCAUGUUAGUCAGAGAUCCGUCACUGUGCGCCUGGACAGUUGUGGAUUUAAUGAUGUUCUAGCAAAGUGCCGCAAGAUUGUGGGUCAUUUCAGACGCAGUCCAGCCACCACAGUGGAACUGUAUAAAGAGUAAAGGGCACCAGGAAAAUGACCCCUAAUCCAGGAUGUUUCCACAAGGUGUUCCACACUGUUUAUGAUCCGUCGUCUUGGAAACAGCCAUCCUUGAACCAUGCAGACAUGUGACUCAUCUUCUUGGUGGAGAGACUUGCGUCUCAUGUUCUGCGGUCUUGCCUGUCCUGUGAUUCCUGGACCACACUAUGAAGGUCUCUGAUGAGGAUUCUGCUUACAUUGUGAAAUUCAAGACCGCCUUCAUGAAGGACUUGUCAGAGCGGAAAGCUGCACUUAAUUAUGAUUGGCUCAAAAUGGCUACAGUGCUUGACCCUCGCUUUCAGGACUUAGAGUUGCUUGUGAGCACAGACUCUGUUAGGACAAAUAGUGAAAUGAGACAGAAACACAAUAUUUUAUGUUGUACCUUAUUAACAUCAUAUGGUCAUUUCAAAUUUAAUGCAUGGAACAUAUUCCAAAAAGGUUGGCACAGGAGUACGUCUACCACUGUGUUACAGAACUUUCCUUUUAACAACACUUAAUAAAACGUUUGGGGGCUGAAGACGGGUCCAGCUUUGGAGGCUUAA
This is a long non-coding RNA of Pygocentrus nattereri (red-bellied piranha), 1366 nucleotides long. RefSeq lists it as uncharacterized. The record is from RefSeq and is a predicted model, not a curated record. The transcript has 2 exons. NCBI's taxonomy places the organism in Eukaryota, Metazoa, Chordata, Actinopteri, Characiformes, Serrasalmidae.